UUCCAACAAUCACGUUUGGGACAUCCAAAAAGGACAUGAAGAAUGAGAGAAAAACACUGGCUCUCAAAAUACUGAAAGCAUCAGUGUUUGAGUUUGAAAGCAACUGCCAUCUGGGCCUCCACUGACAAAUUGGAUCUAAUGUGACAGAAAUGAUUCCAUGCACAAUGCAAGCCUGAAGAGAACCAGGGCAGGCAGUUGGAGCUGCAGUUUGUGCCCUUAAUUCACAAUCUAUCUUCACUGAAUUAUUUCAUUGCCUGCAAUAGAAU
Long non-coding RNA from Cyclopterus lumpus (lumpfish), 266 nucleotides. RefSeq lists it as uncharacterized. Lineage: Eukaryota; Metazoa; Chordata; Actinopteri; Perciformes; Cyclopteridae. The transcript is spliced from 3 exons. The record is from RefSeq and is a predicted model, not a curated record.